RNAcentral lists this ribosomal RNA (301 nucleotides) under uncultured bacterium. RNAcentral's name for it is "partial 16S ribosomal RNA". It matches the Rfam family "Bacterial small subunit ribosomal RNA", at positions 509 to 808 of the family's 1533-position model. The record is from RNAcentral.
CAGUCGCCGCGGAAUACGGAGGGGGCUAGCGUUGUUCGGAAUUACUGGGCGUAAAGCGUACGUAGGCGGCUUUGUAAGUUAGAGGUGAAAGCCCGGGGCUCAACCCCGGAAUUGCCUUUAAGACUGCAUCGCUUGAAUCGCGGAGAGGUGAGUGGAAUUCCGAGUGUAGAGGUGAAAUUCGUAGAUAUUCGGAAGAACACCAGUGGCGAAGGCGGCUCACUGGACGCGUAUUGACGCUGAGGUACGAAAGCGUGGGGAGCAAACAGGAUUAGAUACCCCUGUAGUCCCUGUCUCUUAUACA